AGAGUUUGAUCCUGGCUCAGGAUGAACGCUGGCGGCGUGCCUAACACAUGCAAGUCGAACGCACAGCGAAAGGUGCUUGCACCUUUCAAGUGAGUGGCGAACGGGUGAGUAACACGUGGACAACCUGCCUCAAGGCUGGGGAUAACAUUUGGAAACAGAUGCUAAUACCGAAUAAAACUCAGUGUCGCAUGACACAAAGUUAAAAGGCGCUUUGGCGUCACCUAGAGAUGGAUCCGCGGUGCAUUAGUUAGUUGGUGGGGUAAAGGCCUACCAAGACAAUGAUGCAUAGCCGAGUUGAGAGACUGAUCGGCCACAUUGGGACUGAGACACGGCCCAAACUCCUACGGGAGGCUGCAGUAGGGAAUCUUCCACAAUGGGCGAAAGCCUGAUGGAGCAACGCCGCGUGUGUGAUGAAGGCUUUCGGGUCGUAAAGCACUGUUGUAUGGGAAGAACAGCUAGAAUAGGGAAUGAUUUUAGUUUGACGGUACCAUACCAGAAAGGGACGGCUAAAUACGUGCCAGCAGCCGCGGUAAUACGUAUGUCCCGAGCGUUAUCCGGAUUUAUUGGGCGUAAAGCGAGCGCAGACGGUUGAUUAAGUCUGAUGUGAAAGCCCGGAG
This 617-nucleotide ribosomal RNA is filed under the name uncultured bacterium. Its description in RNAcentral is "bacterial SSU rRNA". It matches the Rfam family "Bacterial small subunit ribosomal RNA", at positions 8 to 607 of the family's 1533-position model. The record is from RNAcentral.